RNAcentral lists this ribosomal RNA (695 nucleotides) under Pluteus aureovenatus. Its description in RNAcentral is "eukaryotic LSU rRNA". The stretch from base 286 to 439 matches the Rfam family "5.8S ribosomal RNA". Lineage: Eukaryota; Fungi; Basidiomycota; Agaricomycetes; Agaricales; Pluteaceae. The record is from RNAcentral.
AAGGUUUCCGUAGGUGAACCUGCGGAAGGAUCAUUAAUGAAUAAACUUGUGUGGGUUGUUGCUGGUCUCUUCGGAGGCAUGUGCACGCCUGCCAUUGUUUCAUUCUCCCCUUCCCCCUGUGCAUUUUCUGUARAUCGGGUUGUCACCAUUCAAUGGGUGCUUGCACUCUUGGUGGGAGGAUYUGYUCCGGYUGUCCUUGGAUGACCUGGUCUAUGUCUUAUCAACUCUUGAUGUAUGAUAUAGAAKKUCAGCCUGGGUUCUUUACAAGACCCAUAAAACAUAUACAACUUUCAACAACGGAUCUCUUGGCUCUCGCAUCGAUGAAGAACGCAGCGAAAUGCGAUAAGUAAUGUGAAUUGCAGAAUUCAGUGAAUCAUCGAAUCUUUGAACGCACCUUGCGCUCCUUGGUAUUCCGAGGAGCAUGCCUGUUUGAGUGUCAUUAAAUCCUCAACCCCUUCUUCCUUGUGAAUGAAGGGUGUUGGAUGUGGAAGUCUGCUGGCCCCUAUGGGUCAGCUCUUCUGAAAUGAAUUAGCAGGGUCACCAUGUACAAGCCUCCAGCUUGGUAUUGAUAGAUGUCUUACCAGGUUGUAGCACAAUGUGCAAGGUGCUCAAGCUCACAGCUGUCCCUUCAGGACAAUUAACUCGACGAUUUGACCUCAAAUCAGGUAGGACUACCCGCUGAACUUAAGCAUAUC